This 490-nucleotide ribosomal RNA is filed under the name uncultured bacterium. Its description in RNAcentral is "partial 16S ribosomal RNA". It matches the Rfam family "Bacterial small subunit ribosomal RNA", at positions 30 to 507 of the family's 1533-position model. The record is from RNAcentral.
AUUGAACGCUGGCGGCAUGCUUUACACAUGCAAGUCGGACGGCAGCACAGAGAACCUUGCUUCUUGGGUGGCGAGUCGCGAACGGGUGAAUAAUAUAUCGGAACGUACCGAGUAAUUGGGGAUAACUAAUCGAAAGAUUAGCUAUUACCGCAUAUUCUCUGAGGAGGAUAGCAGGGGACCUUCGGACCUUGCGUUUUUCGAGCAGCCGAUAUCUCAUUAGCUAGUUGGUGGGGUAAAGGCCUACCAAGGCCACGAUCAGUAGCGGGUCUGAGAGGAUGAUCCGCCACACUGGGACUGAGACACGGCCCAGACUCCUACGGGAGGCAGCAGUAGGGAAUUUUGGGCAAUGGGCGAAAGCCUGAUCCAGCCAUGCCGCGUGUCUGAAGAAGGUCUUCGGAUUGUAAAGGACUUUUGUCAGGGAAGAAAAGGCUGUUGCUAAUAUCAAUAGCUGAUGACGGUACCUGAAGAAUAAGCACCGGCUAACUACGUG